Molecule: ribosomal RNA, 454 nt
Filed under: uncultured bacterium
Lineage: Bacteria
Description: bacterial SSU rRNA
Rfam family: Bacterial small subunit ribosomal RNA
Source: RNAcentral
UACGGGAGGCAGCAGUGGGGAAUAUUGCACAAUGGGCGAAAGCCUGAUGCAGCUAUGCCGCGUGUAUGAAGAAGGCCUUAGGGUUGUAAAGUACUUUCAUCGGGGAGGAAAAACAAAACUAAUAAUUUUAUUUCUUGACGUUACCCGAAAAAGAAGCACCGGCUAACUCCGUGCCAGCAGCCGCGGUAAUACGGAGGGUGCUAGCGUUAAUCAGAAUUACUGGGCGUAAAGAGCACGUAGGUGGUUUUUUUAAGUCAGAUGUGAAAUCCCUGGGCUUAACCUGGAACUGCAUUUUGAAACUGAAAUACUAGAGUAUCGUAGAGGGAGGUAGAAUUCUAGGUGUAGCGGUGAAAUGCGUAGAUAUCUGGAGGAAUACCUGUGGCGAAAGCGGCCUCCUAAACGAAUACUGACACUGAGGUGCGAAAGCGUGGGGAGCAAACAGGGAUUAGAUACC